This 353-nucleotide transfer-messenger RNA is filed under the name Clostridia. RNAcentral describes it as "RGIG8482 sp904381285 Standard tmRNA". It matches the Rfam family "transfer-messenger RNA". From Rfam's summary of the family: Bacterial tmRNA, also known as 10Sa RNA or SsrA, is named for its dual tRNA and mRNA-like properties. Its role is to liberate the mRNA from a stalled ribosome. RNAcentral also lists the same sequence under 1 other name. The record is from RNAcentral. Lineage: Bacteria; Bacillati; Bacillota.
GGGGGUGUAAUUGGUUUUCGACAGCAAAUUAGGAGUAUAAAAAGCGAGUAGUGGAUUUUCGUUACCACUUAAAAAAACGAAAAUUAAAUAUAAACGCUAGAAAUAACGAAGUAGCUUUAGCUGCCUAGGUGCGGCUACGUUCUUAUAAAAAGGCCUACGAUUUUAUAAGGGCGCAAAAUUAGUAGGAAACGAAACUAUUUUUUGCUCCAAAAAUAGUAGGUAAAUAGGAGCUACUAAUAAAAUAAGUUUGUUUGUUCAUUUAUUUUAUUAGGAAAAUUAAGAACAAACUGCACUCGGAGAAAUUUAUAUGGAAGAUUUGUUGGACAGGAGUUCGACUCUCCUCACCUCCACCA